This 405-nucleotide ribosomal RNA is filed under the name uncultured bacterium. RNAcentral describes it as "partial 16S ribosomal RNA". It matches the Rfam family "Bacterial small subunit ribosomal RNA", at positions 33 to 526 of the family's 1533-position model. The record is from RNAcentral.
GACGACGCUGGCGGCGUGCUUAACACAUGCAAGUCGAACGAGUGGCGAACGGGUGAGUAAUGUAUGGGGAUCUGCCCGAUAGAGGGGGAUAACUACUGGAAACGGUGGCUAAUACCGCAUACUAUCGGAUGAACCCAUAUGGGAUUAGCUAGUAGGUGGGGUAAAGGCUCACCUAGGCGACGAUCUCUAGCUGGUCUGAGAGGAUGAUCAGCCACACUGGGACUGAGACACGGCCCAGACUCCUACGGGAGGCAGCAGUGGGGAAUAUUGCACAAUGGGCGCAAGCCUGAUGCAGCCAUGCCGCGUGUAUGAAGAAGGCCUUAGGGUUGUAAAGUACUUUCAGCGGGGAGGCGUUACCCGCAGAAGAAGCACCGGCUAACUCCGUGCCAGCAGCCGCGGUAAUUC